RNAcentral lists this ribosomal RNA (468 nucleotides) under uncultured bacterium. RNAcentral's name for it is "partial 16S ribosomal RNA". It matches the Rfam family "Bacterial small subunit ribosomal RNA", at positions 28 to 507 of the family's 1533-position model. The record is from RNAcentral.
GACGAACGCUGGCGGCGUGCUUAACACAUGCAAGUCGAACGGAAAGGCCCUGCUUUUGUGGGGUGCUCGAGUGGCGAACGGGUGAGUAACACGUGAGUAACCUGCCCUUGACUUUGGGAUAACUUCAGGAAACUGGGGCUAAUACCGGAUAGGAGCUCCUGCUGCAUGGUGGGGGUUGGAAAGUUUCGGCGGUUGGGGAUGGACUCGCGGCUUAUCAGCUUGUUGGUGGGGUAGUGGCUUACCAAGGCUUUGACGGGUAGCCGGGCUGAGAGGGUGACCGGCCACAUUGGGACGGAGAUACGGCCCAGCCUCCUACGGGAGGCAGCAGUGGGGAAUAUUGCACAAUGGGCGGAAGCCUGAUGCAGCAACGCCGCGUGCGGGAUGACGGCCUUCGGGUUGUAAACCGCUUUCGCCUGUGACGAAGCGUGAGUGACGGUAAUGGGUAAAGAAGCACCGGCUAACUACGUG